This 619-nucleotide long non-coding RNA is filed under the name Panax ginseng (ginseng). Its description in RNAcentral is "long non-coding RNA (PGIN_LNC010084)". Lineage: Eukaryota; Viridiplantae; Streptophyta; Magnoliopsida; Apiales; Araliaceae. The record is from RNAcentral.
UUCAGGCUUCUUCCUUGUCAUCGUCACCAUCUAAAGAGUAUAGAAGAGAUGGAUCUACCUUGGCCCGAGCUUUUUCUUGCCUUUACUUCGGUAGAUUUCAUAUCCUUUCGCAUACAUAUGGAUGAUCUUAUUGUUCAGCUCGACGGAUUUUCUGUAUUCUGCCUGGAUAUCCCUACGAAAUUCUUCGGUCAGUGGCGGACUCAAAUUGUUAAGGGCCCGAAGCUCUUUGAGCUCUUCUUCGAGCUUCUGACGAUGUGCCAGAUGAUUUGAUCCUUUAGCUUGACAGAUCGACAUUUGUAUCAGUGAUGACCCGAUGAGUGGCCUUGGUCGUUUUCAGUUCUUCUUUGAUCUUGUCAAUAUCCUUCCGAAGGCAUUCAUUGUUGAAGAGAGCAAUAUCAAGAUUGUUUCUUUCUUUUGCCAACACAGACUUCCGGAUGGCGUUAUCUCUUCGGCAUUCUCUUCGACUUCUUUAUAUUUGAGACAGAGGAACCCGGAGACAGUGUUUACUUGCAGAUGACUAAUAUUAAUCGAUCAGUUCAGAUUGAUGGUCGAAUCUCAACUUCCUUUAGUCUGGUAUUUCACUCCUUCACCCAUCAGUUCCAUGAUGGAAUUAUUGCCG